CCUACGGGGUGCUGCAGUGAGGAAUAUUGGUCAAUGGACGAGAGUCUGAACCAGCCAAGUAGCGUGAAGGAUGACUGCCCUAUGGGUUGUAAACUUCUUUUAUAUGGGAAUAAAAUGUUCCACGUGUGGGAUUUUGUAUGUACCAUAUGAAUAAGGAUCGGCUAACUCCGUGCCAGCAGCCGCGGUAAUACGGAGGAUCCGAGCGUUAUCCGGAUUUAUUGGGUUUAAAGGGAGCUUAGGUGGAUUGUUAAGUCAGUUGUGAAAGUUUGCGGCUCAACCGUAAAAUUGCAGUUGAAACUGGCAGUCUUGAGUACAGUAGAGGUGGGCGGAAUUCGUGGUGUAGCGGUGAAAUGCUUAGAUAUCACGAAGAACUCCGAUUGCGAAGGCAGUUCACUGGACUGCAACUGACACUGAGGCUCGAAAGUGUGGGUAUCAAACAGGAUUAGAUACCCGAGUAGUC
RNAcentral lists this ribosomal RNA (460 nucleotides) under uncultured bacterium. RNAcentral describes it as "partial 16S ribosomal RNA". It matches the Rfam family "Bacterial small subunit ribosomal RNA", at positions 338 to 795 of the family's 1533-position model. The record is from RNAcentral.